This 1150-nucleotide unclassified non-coding RNA is filed under the name Phoma herbarum. RNAcentral describes it as "sequence contains 18S rRNA gene, ITS1, 5.8S rRNA gene, ITS2 and 28S rRNA gene". The stretch from base 176 to 329 matches the Rfam family "5.8S ribosomal RNA". The record is from RNAcentral. Lineage: Eukaryota; Fungi; Ascomycota; Dothideomycetes; Pleosporales; Didymellaceae.
AAACAGGGGCCUUGGGGCACUCCUGCAUGGCGGUCCGCCUUCGGGGGUGCUUAGUCCUUGACUAUCACCUUGACUAUGCGUACCUUUGUUGUUUCCUCGGCAGGUCUCCUGCCAGUGGAACCCUCUACAACCCUUUUGCAACAGCAUUAAACUGAAACAAACCACAAUUAUUUACAACUUUCAACAAUGGAUCUCUUGGUUCUGGCAUCGAUGAAGAACGCAGCGAAAUGCGAUAAGUAGUGUGAAUUGCAGAAUUCAGUGAAUCAUCGAAUCUUUGAACGCACAUUGCGCCCCUCGGUAUUCCGUGGGGCAUGCCUGUUCGAGCGUCAUUUACCCCCUCAAGCUCUGCUUGGUGUUGGGCGCCUGUCCCGCCUCGUGCGCGGACUCGCCUAGAAGACAUUGGCAGCGGUCGUGCCAGCUUCUCGCGCAGCACAUUGCGCUUCUCGAGGCUCCGGCGGACCAGCGUCCAGCAAGUCCACCUCCAGUUUGACCUCGGAUCAGGUAGGGAUACCCGCUGAACUUAAGCAUAUCAAAAACCCGGAGGAAAGGAUCAUUACCUGGCCUUGGGCCACUCCUGCAUGGCGGUCACGCCUUCGGGGGUGCUUAGUCCUUGACUAUCACUUGACUAUGCGUACCUUUGUUGUUUCCUCGGCAGGUCUCCUGCCAGUGGAACCCUCUACAACCCUUUUGCAACAGCAUUAAACUGAAACAAACACAAUUAUUUACAACUUUCACAAUGGGAUCUCUUGGGUUCUGGCAUCGAUGAAAGAACGCAGCGAAAUGCGAUAAGAUAGUUGUGGAAUUUGCAGAAAUUCAGUGGAAUCAUCAAAUCUUUGUAACGCCAUUGCGCCCUCGGUUAUUCCGUGGGGGGCAUGCCUGUUUCGAGCGUCAUUUUACCCCCAGGCUUGCUUUGGUGGUUUGGGGCGCCCGGUCCCCCUCCUGGGCGGGAAUCCCCUAAGAAAAAAAUUUGGGCAGCGGGUUCGUGGCCGCCUUUUUCGCGCAACAACAAUUUGGCGGUUUUUUCUAAGGGUUCCCCCGGGGAACGACAACACCGGGGUCGGGGGAAAAUUCCCCCACCCUCCCUCCCUUGUUGGUUGACUCCCAUCACAAAAAAAGGGGAGAAAGGAAACAACCCGUCAAAAAAAAAUUA